GUGCUCAUUUUGGCAGCACAUAUUCUAAAAUCAGAACAAUACAGAGAUUAGCAUGGUCCCUGAACAAGAUAACACACAAAUUCAUGAAGUAUUCAAUAUUUUU
Small nuclear RNA from Ailuropoda melanoleuca (giant panda), 103 nucleotides. NCBI's taxonomy places the organism in Eukaryota, Metazoa, Chordata, Mammalia, Carnivora, Ursidae. The record is from Ensembl.